GAAGUAAAAGUCGUAACAAGGUUUCCGUAGGUGAACCUGCGGAAGGAUCAUUACUGAGUGUCUGAGUCCCCAGUGGACUCAACCUCCCAACCCUUUGUGUAUCUGUCCAUGUUGCUUCGGCGGAGACCGGCUGUGCCCGCAAGGACCAGCUGCCCGCCGGAGGUUCAUUAUCAAACUCUUGUUUAGUACAGUGUUGUCUGAGUCUUUGAGAUAAUCAAAAUAAAACUUUCAACAACGGAUCUCUUGGUUCUGGCAUCGAUGAAGAACGCAGCAAAAUGCGAAAAGUAAUGUGAAUUGCAGAAUUCAGUGAAUCAUCGAAUCUUUGAACGCACAUUGCGCCCUCUGGUAUUCCGGAGGGCAUGCCUGUUCGAGCGUCAUUAACACCCCUCAAGCACAGCUUGUUGUUGGGCAUUGUCAACCGUUCCCGGCGUGACGUGUCUGAAAAGCAGUGACGGUCGACUUCGAUCUCUAGCGCAGUAUGAUCUUGUAUCACCGCUUCCGGAUCGGAUGUUGUCACCGGUCAUUUCCCCUUAAAUUUUUUUCUAAGGUUGACCUCGGAUCAGGUAGGAAUACCCGCUGAACUUAAGCAUAUCA
This 594-nucleotide ribosomal RNA is filed under the name Chaenothecopsis khayensis. RNAcentral describes it as "eukaryotic LSU rRNA". The stretch from base 224 to 377 matches the Rfam family "5.8S ribosomal RNA". Lineage: Eukaryota; Fungi; Ascomycota; Eurotiomycetes; Mycocaliciales; Mycocaliciaceae. The record is from RNAcentral.